This 186-nucleotide non-coding RNA is filed under the name Bacillus gobiensis. RNAcentral describes it as "6S / SsrS RNA". It matches the Rfam family "6S / SsrS RNA". From Rfam's summary of the family: E. coli 6S RNA was the first non coding RNA to be sequenced, but its function was unknown until recently. Lineage: Bacteria; Bacillati; Bacillota; Bacilli; Caryophanales; Bacillaceae. The record is from Rfam by way of RNAcentral. RNAcentral also lists the same sequence under 1 other name.
GGUGAGCUACAAUGUGCGUACGAUAAUUAAGUUUUAACCUUUAAGCUGUAAUAGGGAGUUUUAAAUCGAAGCCGGAAUGUCAUGCCUCCAUUAUGAGAGGACGACAGGAACGUUUCUGCGAGCACCCACUUUUUAGAAGUGUGGUCUAAAACUUUCUUAUGGAAGUACGGCAAUUGGAGCUUUCCU